Molecule: small nuclear RNA, 256 nt
Filed under: Mesocricetus auratus (golden hamster)
Lineage: Eukaryota; Metazoa; Chordata; Mammalia; Rodentia; Cricetidae
Description: 7SK RNA
Rfam family: 7SK RNA
About the family: 7SK was discovered as an abundant small nuclear RNA in the mid-70s but a possible function has only recently been suggested. Two independent studies have found that 7SK RNA binds the CDK9/cyclin T complex (known as elongation factor P-TEFb).
Source: Rfam by way of RNAcentral
GGAUGUGAGGGUAAUCUGGCUGCGACAUCUGGCUGGCUAGGCGGGUGUCCCCUUCCUCCCUCACCGCUCCAUGUGCGUCCCUCCCGAAGCUGUGCACUCGGUCGAAGAGGAUGACCUUCCCCGAAUAGAGGAGGACUGGUCCCCAGUCCAAGUUAUACGAGUAUCUGCGCUGCCCUGCUAGAACCUCCAAACAAGCUCUCAAGGUCCUUUUGCUCUCUGCCACAGAGGCCCAUCUUCUUACAUCUGUCUGUCAGAC